GUAGCGUGAAGGAUGACUGCCCUAUGGGUUGUAAACUUCUUUUAUACGGGAAUAAAGUGAGGCACGUGUGCCUUUUUGUAUGUACCGUAUGAAUAAGGAUCGGCUAACUCCGUGCCAGCAGCCGCGGUAAUACGGAGGAUCCGAGCGUUAUCCGGAUUUAUUGGGUUUAAAGGGAGCGUAGGCGGACGCUUAAGUCAGUUGUGAAAGUUUGCGGCUCAACCGUAAAAUUGCAGUUGAUACUGGGUGUCUUGAGUACAGUAGAGGCAGGCGGAAUUCGUGGUGUAGCGGUGAAAUGCUUAGAUAUCACGAAGAACUCCGAUUGCGAAGGCAGCUUGCUGGACUGUAACUGACGCUGAUGCUCGAAAGUGUGGGUAUCAAACAGGAUUAGAUACCCUGGUAGUCCACACAGUAAACGAUGAAUACUCGCUGUUUGCGAUAUACAGUAAGCGGCCAAGCGAAAGCGUUAAGUAUUCCACCUGGGGAGUACG
RNAcentral lists this ribosomal RNA (488 nucleotides) under uncultured bacterium. RNAcentral's name for it is "bacterial SSU rRNA". It matches the Rfam family "Bacterial small subunit ribosomal RNA", at positions 396 to 884 of the family's 1533-position model. The record is from RNAcentral.